This 253-nucleotide ribosomal RNA is filed under the name uncultured bacterium. RNAcentral describes it as "partial 16S ribosomal RNA". It matches the Rfam family "Bacterial small subunit ribosomal RNA", at positions 524 to 776 of the family's 1533-position model. The record is from RNAcentral.
UACGGAGGGUGCAAGCGUUAUCCGGAUUCACUGGGUUUAAAGGGUGCGUAGGCGGAUUGGUAAGUCCGUGGUGAAAUCCCCGAGCUUAACUUGGGAACUGCCGUGGAUACUAUCAGUCUUGAAUAUCGUGGAGGUAAGCGGAAUAUGUCAUGUAGCGGUGAAAUGCUUAGAUAUCUGGAGGAACACCGGUGGCGAAGGCGGCAUCCUGGACCAAUAUUGACGCUGAGGAGCGAAAGCCAGGGGAGCAAACGGG